This 327-nucleotide ribosomal RNA is filed under the name uncultured eukaryote. RNAcentral describes it as "partial 18S ribosomal RNA". It matches the Rfam family "Eukaryotic small subunit ribosomal RNA", at positions 1470 to 1796 of the family's 1831-position model. The record is from RNAcentral.
CCCUUAGAUGUUCUGGGCCGCACGCGCGCUACACUGACGAAUGCAACGAGCUUAUAACCUUGGCCGAAAGGUCUGGGUAAUCUCCAAAUUUCGUCGUGAUGGGGAUAGAUUAUUGCAAUUAUUAAUCUUCAACGAGGAAUGCCUAGUAAGCGCAAGUCAUCAGCUUGCGUUGAUUACGUCCCUGCCCUUUGUACACACCGCCCGUCGCUCCUACCGAUUGAAUGGUCCGGUGAAGCGCUCGGACCGCGGCCUCUUGACGGUUCGCUGUCGAUUGGCUGCGGGAAGUUCGUUAAACCUUAUCAUUUAGAGGAAGGAGAAGUCGUAACA